UACCCCGAGGAAAAGAAAUCAACCGAGAUUCCCCCAGUAGCGGCGAGCGAACGGGGAGGAGCCCAGAGCCUGAAUCAGUGUGUGUGUUAGUGGAAGCGUCUGGAAAGGCGUGCGAUACAGGGUGACAGCCCCGUACACAAAAAUGCACAUACUGUGAGCUCGAUGAGUAGGGCGGGACACGUGGUAUCCUGUCUGAAUAUGGGGGGACCAUCCUCCAAGGCUAAAUACUCCUGACUGACCGAUAGUGAACCAGUACCGUGAGGGAAAGGCGAAAAGAACCCCGGCGAGGGGAGUGAAAAAGAACCUGAAACCGUGUACGUACAAGCAGUGGGAGCCUCUUUAUGGGGUGACUGCGUACCUUUUGUAUAAUGGGUCAGCGACUUAUAUUCUGUAGCAAGGUUAACCGAAUAGGGGAGCCGAAGGGAAACCGAGUCUUAACUGGGCGUUAAGUUGCAGGGUAUAGACCCGAAACCCGGUGAUCUAGCCAUGGGCAGGUUGAAGGUUGGGUAACACUAACUGGAGGACCGAACCGACUAAUGUUGAAAAAUUAGCGGAUGACUUGUGGCUGGGGGUGAAAGGCCAAUCAAACCGGGAGAUAGCUGGUUCUCCCCGAAAGCUAUUUAGGUAGCGCCUCGUGAAUUCAUCUCCGGGGGUAGAGCACUGUUUCGGCAAGGGGGUCAUCCCGACUUACCAACCCGAUGCAAACUGCGAAUACCGGAGAAUGUUAUCACGGGAGACACACGGCGGGUGCUAACGUCCGUCGUGAAGAGGGAAACAACCCAGACCGCCAGCUAAGGUCCCAAAGUCAUGGUUAAGUGGGAAACGAUGUGGGAAGGCCCAGACAGCCAGGAUGUUGGCUUAGAAGCAGCCAUCAUUUAAAGAAAGCGUAAUAGCUCACUGGUCGAGUCGGCCUGCGCGGAAGAUGUAACGGGGCUAAACCAUG
RNAcentral lists this ribosomal RNA (943 nucleotides) under Escherichia coli. RNAcentral's name for it is "partial 23S ribosomal RNA". It matches the Rfam family "Bacterial large subunit ribosomal RNA", at positions 207 to 1191 of the family's 2925-position model. Lineage: Bacteria; Pseudomonadati; Pseudomonadota; Gammaproteobacteria; Enterobacterales; Enterobacteriaceae. The record is from RNAcentral.